This 366-nucleotide ribosomal RNA is filed under the name Triticum aestivum (bread wheat). Its description in RNAcentral is "partial small subunit ribosomal RNA". Lineage: Eukaryota; Viridiplantae; Streptophyta; Magnoliopsida; Poales; Poaceae. The record is from RNAcentral.
AUGGCUGCGAGGGGCGGCGCAUCCUCACCGUCGGCCGCGCCUUCAUCAUCAUCACCGCAACGUCGGCCAUCAGUCCGCGCGCGGGGCCUCGCCUCGGUCGGCCGCAUCCAUCCACGCAUCGCUCGCGUCUGCUUCCCUCCGCGCUGCAUCUUGCCCCGGCGGGAACGCGCGUUGGCUCCUCCAUAUACCAUCUACAAGCUAGCUAGAUGCAUGUCAAACAAUGGUCAAACCAUUAGCCACACCAUAGCCAAACCAUUCCCCGUACACAUCCCAGAUAAUGGCGAUAAUGGCCUUCUCAGAUGCGGGUCGGAUACGACCAGUACAUCACCCAGACUACCCCACGAGCAUGGUUUGCUGCUAAACUGA